RNAcentral lists this ribosomal RNA (429 nucleotides) under Chloroflexota bacterium. RNAcentral's name for it is "Chloroflexi bacterium partial 16S ribosomal RNA". It matches the Rfam family "Bacterial small subunit ribosomal RNA", at positions 355 to 776 of the family's 1533-position model. The record is from RNAcentral. Lineage: Bacteria; Bacillati; Chloroflexota.
UGGGGAAUAUUGCACAAUGGGCGCAAGCCUGAUGCAGCCAUGCCGCGUGUAUGAAGAAGGCCUUCGGGUUGUAAAGUACUUUCAGCGGGGAGGAAGGGAGUAAAGUUAAUACCUUUGCUCAUUGACGUUACCCGCAGAAGAAGCACCGGCUAACUCCGUGCCAGCAGCCGCGGUAAUACGGAGGGUGCAAGCGUUAAUCGGAAUUACUGGGCGUAAAGCGCACGCAGGCGGUUUGUUAAGUCAGAUGUGAAAUCCCCGGGCUCAACCUGGGAACUGCAUCUGAUACUGGCAAGCUUGAGUCUCGUAGAGGGGGGUAGAAUUCCAGGUGUAGCGGUGAAAUGCGUAGAGAUCUGGAGGAAUACCGGUGGCGAAGGCGGCCCCCUGGACGAAGACUGACGCUCAGGUGCGAAAGCGUGGGGAGCAACCAGG